GGGGGUUCUCAGGUGAUGCACCCUGGAAUCGGGCUCCCUCCUCUCUGUUUCCUGGUGUGUCACCCAAGAACUGCA
This is a non-coding RNA of Myotis davidii, 75 nucleotides long. Lineage: Eukaryota; Metazoa; Chordata; Mammalia; Chiroptera; Vespertilionidae. The record is from Rfam.